This is a long non-coding RNA of Octopus sinensis (East Asian common octopus), 170 nucleotides long. RefSeq lists it as uncharacterized. The transcript is spliced from 3 exons. The record is from RefSeq and is a predicted model, not a curated record. Lineage: Eukaryota; Metazoa; Mollusca; Cephalopoda; Octopoda; Octopodidae.
UAUUGUAUAUGACUUGAGAUGUUUGCCUUGCCUUAAUGUUUGCUGUCCUGUUUAACAAUUACAUAUCCACUGCAUCAGAAAUCUGCAAUGCUUCCAUAACUACCAUCUUAGCUAUGACCUUGGACCCCCAGUAAUCCAUUACACCACUUACCUAACACACCUAAUCACUU